GUAAAAACCCAUAAAGGUGAGUAUAGCAUAUCGCCACGUGGGAUUUAACUGUUUUGAAGCAAGAUCGACACAGAGCGUCCGCCUCAACGCGCGGGUUGCCACUAGUUCCAUAUAUAACUAGCAUGCAUCUUACUACGAUGACAUGCACGAGAUUUUGACAACUAAUAUUCGUGUUCAGGGAAACUCGGUACGUAGCUGCUAUGGGCUUUUACUUGAAUGAUUGAAACAAGAUGGUAGAAUAAUGUAUGUUGAACAAAAUGCAUCAGUUAUAUAAAUAUGAAAGGAGAAUGUUCACAUUUUUGUUGUU
Molecule: long non-coding RNA, 307 nt
Organism: Helianthus annuus (common sunflower)
Lineage: Eukaryota; Viridiplantae; Streptophyta; Magnoliopsida; Asterales; Asteraceae
Exons: 4
Source: RefSeq, a predicted model, not a curated record